GGGUUGUGAGGUUAAGCGACUAAGCGUACACGGUGGAUGCCCUGGCAGUCAGAGGCGAUGAAGGACGUGCUAAUCUGCGAUAAGCGUCGGUAAGGUGAUAUGAACCGUUAUAACCGGCGAUUUCCGAAUGGGGAAACCCAGUGUGAUUCGUCACACUAUCAUUAACUGAAUCCAUAGGUUAAUGAGGCGAACCGGGGGAACUGAAACAUCUAAGUACCCCGAGGAAAAGAAAUCAACCGAGAUUCCCCCAGUAGCGGCGAGCGAACGGGGAGGAGCCCAGAGCCUGAAUCAGUGUGUGUGUUAGUGGAAGCGUCUGGAAAGGCGCGCGAUACAGGGUGACAGCCCCGUACACAAAAAUGCACAUAUUGUGAGCUCGAUGAGUAGGGCGGGACACGUGGUAUCCUGUCUGAAUAUGGGGGGACCAUCCUCCAAGGCUAAAUACUCCUGACUGACCGAUAGUGAACCAGUACCGUGAGGGAAAGGCGAAAAGAACCCCGGCGAGGGGAGUGAAAAAGAACCUGAAACCGUGUACGUACAAGCAGUGGGAGCCUCUUUAUGGGGUGACUGCGUACCUUUUGUAUAAUGGGUCAGCGACUUAUAUUCUGUAGCAAGGUUAACCGAAUAGGGGAGCCGAAGGGAAACCGAGUCUUAACUGGGCGUUAAGUUGCAGGGUAUAGACCCGAAACCCGGUGAUCUAGCCAUGGGCAGGUUGAAGGUUGGGUAACACUAACUGGAGGACCGAACCGACUAAUGUUGAAAAAUUAGCGGAUGACUUGUGGCUGGGGGUGAAAGGCCAAUCAAACCGGGAGAUAGCUGGUUCUCCCCGAAAGCUAUUUAGGUAGCGCCUCGUGAAUUCAUCUCCGGGGGUAGAGCACUGUUUCGGCAAGGGGGUCAUCCCGACUUACCAACCCGAUGCAAACUGCGAAUACCGGAGAAUGUUAUCACGGGAGACACACGGCGGGUGCUAACGUCCGUCGUGAAGAGGGAAACAACCCAGACCGCCAGCUAAGGUCCCAAAGUCAUGGUUAAGUGGGAAACGAUGUGGGAAGGCCCAGACAGCCAGGAUGUUGGCUUAGAAGCAGCCAUCAUUUAAAGAAAGCGUAAUAGCUCACUGGUCGAGUCGGCCUGCGCGGAAGAUGUAACGGGGCUAAACCAUGCACCGAAGCUGCGGCAGCGACGCUUAUGCGUUGUUGGGUAGGGGAGCGUUCUGUAAGCCUGCGAAGGUGUGCUGUGAGGCAUGCUGGAGGUAUCAGAAGUGCGAAUGCUGACAUAAGUAACGAUAAAGCGGGUGAAAAGCCCGCUCGCCGGAAGACCAAGGGUUCCUGUCCAACGUUAAUCGGGGCAGGGUGAGUCGACCCCUAAGGCGAGGCCGAAAGGCGUAGUCGAUGGGAAACAGGUUAAUAUUCCUGUACUUGGUGUUACUGCGAAGGGGGGACGGAGAAGGCUAUGUUGGCCGGGCGACGGUUGUCCCGGUUUAAGCGUGUAGGCUGGUUUUCCAGGCAAAUCCGGAAAAUCAAGGCUGAGGCGUGAUGACGAGGCACUACGGUGCUGAAGCAACAAAUGCCCUGCUUCCAGGAAAAGCCUCUAAGCAUCAGGUAACAACAAAUCGUACCCCAAACCGACACAGGUGGUCAGGUAGAGAAUACCAAGGCGCUUGAGAGAACUCGGGUGAAGGAACUAGGCAAAAUGGUGCCGUAACUUCGGGAGAAGGCACGCUGAUAUGUAGGUGAAGCGACUUGCUCGUGGAGCUGAAAUCAGUCGAAGAUACCAGCUGGCUGCAACUGUUUAUUAAAAACACAGCACUGUGCAAACACGAAAGUGGACGUAUACGGUGUGACGCCUGCCCGGUGCCGGAAGGUUAAUUGAUGGGGUUAGCGGUAACGCGAAGCUCUUGAUCGAAGCCCCGGUAAACGGCGGCCGUAACUAUAACGGUCCUAAGGUAGCGAAAUUCCUUGUCGGGUAAGUUCCGACCUGCACGAAUGGCGUAAUGAUGGCCAGGCUGUCUCCACCCGAGACUCAGUGAAAUUGAACUCGCUGUGAAGAUGCAGUGUACCCGCGGCAAGACGGAAAGACCCCGUGAACCUUUACUAUAGCUUGACACUGAACAUUGAGCCUUGAUGUGUAGGAUAGGUGGGAGGCUUUGAAGUGUGGACGCCAGUCUGCAUGGAGCCGGCCUUGAAAUACCACCCUUUAAUGUUUGAUGUUCUAACGUUGGCCCGUAAUCCGGGUUGCGGACAGUGUCUGGUGGGUAGUUUGACUGGGGCGGUCUCCUCCUAAAGAGUAACGGAGGAGCACGAAGGUUGGCUAAUCCUGGUCGGACAUCAGGAGGUUAGUGCAAUGGCAUAAGCCAGCUUGACUGCGAGCGUGACGGCGCGAGCAGGUGCGAAAGCAGGUCAUAGUGAUCCGGUGGUUCUGAAUGGAAGGGCCAUCGCUCAACGGAUAAAAGGUACUCCGGGGAUAACAGGCUGAUACCGCCCAAGAGUUCAUAUCGACGGCGGUGUUUGGCACCUCGAUGUCGGCUCAUCACAUCCUGGGGCUGAAGUAGGUCCCAAGGGUAUGGCUGUUCGCCAUUUAAAGUGGUACGCGAGCUGGGUUUAGAACGUCGUGAGACAGUUCGGUCCCUAUCUGCCGUGGGCGCUGGAGAACUGAGGGGGGCUGCUCCUAGUACGAGAGGACCGGAGUGGACGCAUCACUGGUGUUCGGGUUGUCAUGCCAAUGGCACUGCCCGGUAGCUAAAUGCGGAAGAGAUAAGUGCUGAAAGCAUCUAAGCACGAAACUUGCCCCGAGAUGAGUUCUCCCUGACCCUUUAAGGGUCCUGAAGGAACGUUGAAGACGACGACGUUGAUAGGCCGGGUGUGUAAGCGCAGCGAUGCGUUGAGCUAACCGGUACUAAUGAACCGUGAGGCUUAACCUUACAACGCCGAAGGUGUUU
This 2932-nucleotide ribosomal RNA is filed under the name Escherichia fergusonii. RNAcentral's name for it is "23S ribosomal RNA". It matches the Rfam family "Bacterial large subunit ribosomal RNA". Lineage: Bacteria; Pseudomonadati; Pseudomonadota; Gammaproteobacteria; Enterobacterales; Enterobacteriaceae. The record is from RNAcentral.